UAUUCUGGAAAUGGUCAAACAUGUUCAGAUGUGAACGAGUGUUCUUCUAGUGUCUGUCACUCAAAUGCUGAUUGUACCAACACAGUUGGUUCCUACACGUGUCAGUGUCGAAGUGGUUAUUCUGGAAAUGGUCAAACAUGUUCAGAUGUUAACGAGUGCUCUCUGGGAACACAUUCAUGCUCUUUAAACGCCAAUUGUUCUAAC
Dendronephthya gigantea is the source of this 204-nucleotide long non-coding RNA. RefSeq lists it as uncharacterized. Lineage: Eukaryota; Metazoa; Cnidaria; Anthozoa; Malacalcyonacea; Nephtheidae. The record is from RefSeq and is a predicted model, not a curated record. The transcript is spliced from 3 exons.